CCGAUCGUGUUCAAUAUACCCAACCUGGGCGGGGCUACCGGUAGGCGUAAAUCCACCACUGAUGUACAUGACGUACUGCUUCAUGUACAAGCAGGGUUUACAAGAUUUGGUUUGAAUGGUGCGUCCUGUGUACAGAGAUUAAUUUGUGAAAUAAAUUCAACCCCACUGAAAAUGGGUCUUCUUGGAGACAUUCUCAACACUAUAUUUUUGGGAGAAAUCGAAAAAUCUUACAACACGUUCUAUUCUGCACAGAAGGUUGGGAGAAGUAAGAAGAGCUGUAAAGCAUAUUCAGCUGAAUGCCCAGUCUCCAUCUUUAAUUUUCCAUCAGCAUUCAAAAGUUUUAUACCUUAGUCAGCUGAUUAUCUUCAUAAUUAAUUUCCCUGUAUGUCAUACCGUUAUCAGCUGACUUUUCAUUCUCCAUCUUUAAUUAUUUAAUCAGCUUCUAUCGCUUGAUUCUUCAACCCUUCGCCUGUGGUUACUAUGAAGUUUAUACCAAUUUAAAGAAUUCAGUCGUCGUCGUAUUUAUCAACACAAUGAAGACGACUUUAGAUUUAA
RNAcentral lists this unclassified non-coding RNA (555 nucleotides) under Eurytemora carolleeae. RNAcentral describes it as "uncharacterized LOC111707082". Lineage: Eukaryota; Metazoa; Arthropoda; Copepoda; Calanoida; Temoridae. The record is from RNAcentral.